RNAcentral lists this ribosomal RNA (1444 nucleotides) under Limosilactobacillus fermentum. RNAcentral describes it as "bacterial SSU rRNA". It matches the Rfam family "Bacterial small subunit ribosomal RNA". The record is from RNAcentral. Lineage: Bacteria; Bacillati; Bacillota; Bacilli; Lactobacillales; Lactobacillaceae.
AAGUCGAACGCGUUGGCCCAAUUGAUUGAUGGUGCUUGCACCUGAUUGAUUUUGGUCGCCAACGAGUGGCGGACGGGUGAGUAACACGUAGGUAACCUGCCCAGAAGCGGGGGACAACAUUUGGAAACAGAUGCUAAUACCGCAUAACAGCGUUGUUCGCAUGAACAACGCUUAAAAGAUGGCUUCUCGCUAUCACUUCUGGAUGGACCUGCGGUGCAUUAGCUUGUUGGUGGGGUAACGGCCUACCAAGGCGAUGAUGCAUAGCCGAGUUGAGAGACUGAUCGGCCACAAUGGGACUGAGACACGGCCCAUACUCCUACGGGAGGCAGCAGUAGGGAAUCUUCCACAAUGGGCGCAAGCCUGAUGGAGCAACACCGCGUGAGUGAAGAAGGGUUUCGGCUCGUAAAGCUCUGUUGUUAAAGAAGAACACGUAUGAGAGUAACUGUUCAUACGUUGACGGUAUUUAACCAGAAAGUCACGGCUAACUACGUGCCAGCAGCCGCGGUAAUACGUAGGUGGCAAGCGUUAUCCGGAUUUAUUGGGCGUAAAGAGAGUGCAGGCGGUUUUCUAAGUCUGAUGUGAAAGCCUUCGGCUUAACCGGAGAAGUGCAUCGGAAACUGGAUAACUUGAGUGCAGAAGAGGGUAGUGGAACUCCAUGUGUAGCGGUGGAAUGCGUAGAUAUAUGGAAGAACACCAGUGGCGAAGGCGGCUACCUGGUCUGCAACUGACGCUGAGACUCGAAAGCAUGGGUAGCGAACAGGAUUAGAUACCCUGGUAGUCCAUGCCGUAAACGAUGAGUGCUAGGUGUUGGAGGGUUUCCGCCCUUCAGUGCCGGAGCUAACGCAUUAAGCACUCCGCCUGGGGAGUACGACCGCAAGGUUGAAACUCAAAGGAAUUGACGGGGGCCCGCACAAGCGGUGGAGCAUGUGGUUUAAUUCGAAGCUACGCGAAGAACCUUACCAGGUCUUGACAUCUUGCGCCAACCCUAGAGAUAGGGCGUUUCCUUCGGGAACGCAAUGACAGGUGGUGCAUGGUCGUCGUCAGCUCGUGUCGUGAGAUGUUGGGUUAAGUCCCGCAACGAGCGCAACCCUUGUUACUAGUUGCCAGCAUUAAGUUGGGCACUCUAGUGAGACUGCCGGUGACAAACCGGAGGAAGGUGGGGACGACGUCAGAUCAUCAUGCCCCUUAUGACCUGGGCUACACACGUGCUACAAUGGACGGUACAACGAGUCGCGAACUCGCGAGGGCAAGCAAAUCUCUUAAAACCGUUCUCAGUUCGGACUGCAGGCUGCAACUCGCCUGCACGAAGUCGGAAUCGCUAGUAAUCGCGGAUCAGCAUGCCGCGGUGAAUACGUUCCCGGGCCUUGUACACACCGCCCGUCACACCAUGAGAGUUUGUAACACCCAAAGUCGGCUGGGGUAACCUUUUAGGAGCCAGCCGCCU